This 524-nucleotide ribosomal RNA is filed under the name uncultured bacterium. RNAcentral describes it as "bacterial SSU rRNA". It matches the Rfam family "Bacterial small subunit ribosomal RNA", at positions 355 to 896 of the family's 1533-position model. The record is from RNAcentral.
UGGGGAAUAUUGGACAAUGGACCGAGAGUCUGAUCCAGCAAUUCUGUGUGCACGAUGACGUUUUUCGGAAUGUAAAGUGCUUUCAGUUGGGAAGAAAAAAAUGACGGUACCAACAGAAGAAGUGACGGCUAAAUACGUGCCAGCAGCCGCGGUAAUACGUAUGUCACAAGCGUUAUCCGGAUUUAUUGGGCGUAAAGCGCGUCUAGGUGGUUAUGUAAGUCUGAUGUGAAAAUGCAGGGCUCAACUCUGUAUUGCGUUGGAAACUGUGUAACUAGAGUACUGGAGAGGUAAGCGGAACUACAAGUGUAGAGGUGAAAUUCGUAGAUAUUUGUAGGAAUGCCGAUGGGGAAGCCAGCUUACUGGACAGAUACUGACGCUGAAGCGCGAAAGCGUGGGUAGCAAACAGGAUUAGAUACCCUGGUAGUCCACGCCGUAAACGAUGAUUACUAGGUGUUGGGGGUCGAACCUCAGCGCCCAAGCAAACGCGAUAAGUAAUCCGCCUGGGGAGUACGUACGCAAGUAUG